GACACUAUACAUGAAAUUUGUUAUUAAUUAUUUUUUAUUUAGAUAUGAUUGGUUAUAUAAUAUAUCUAUCUUUCUUAAAGAGGUCUGCACCUUAACUCAGAUUUAUGAAUUUAAUUUUUAAUUUUAAUUAAAAGAAAUUAUUAAUUUAAACAAAUAAAUAAAGAACAAAAAUAUAUAUAAAAAAAAAAAAACCAAAAACUGUCUCGGCUCCUCUAAUGUAAUGGCUAGACGGCUCGCAAAAUGGCUCCCUCAAUAGGCUCAGCUGAAGAAGGAACCCCGGGUUUUCAAGUCUUCUACACGGGUUCCGGGUUGGGCUAACAAAAAAAGGUGCAGAUUUUGGGCUAUUCAAAACACCACGUUUCAGCUUUGUAUAAAACUUCAAAAAAUUUAUUUGCGUUUGAACUUUUCCGUUCACCACUCUAGCUGACCGAAUUUUCUCUCACCCUCUCUCUAACCAAGAUGAAUCCCGGCCCAGAUUGUCAAGCUUUCCCAGAUUCCGGGACCGCUCUUCUCUGUCAGCCGUCGUCAAUCGCCGAUCACCGCCGGCCACCAGUGUUAAACUUGUACCAAAAUUCUCAUCGCGAUCCGCUCUUUCCAAUUUCCUAGCUAGAUUUCUCUGAAAACAACUAAAACUCUUUGUACCCUUCCUUAUGGUGGACUACGAUCUCCAAAACCCUAUCCACCGACGUCUGCUACCGCUAAACCGCCAUUAGUGGUGACUCAAUGGCCUUCGAAAAUCCUUAAACCCACCACCUAAACUAUUUCUCUUUCCCUCCCUACCUAAAAACAAGAGUCUCGAAAUCAGCCCACACAACCCCAAAAUACCUCAUUCCCAAAAGGCUUUUUAUUGUGAUUUAUGUUUGUGUUGUUUUGUGUUAUUGUUGUUGAUUGAGGGCUGUUGAUUUUUUAUGGUUCUCUUUGAAAGAGAAUAUAGUUUGGGUCAUUGGUCUUGGAUUUUUUCUGUUGUUUUCAUUGAAUUUUCUGCAAGUGUUCCUUUUUGAUGGUUGCUGUUUGUUUAUAAUCCAUUAGUCCAAUCCUACACAGAAAUCUUAAAUCAACAUAUUCAUAAGGAUUUCGGUUUGAAUAAAUUCAAUCCCCAAAACAAUUUUAUCUCCAAUCAUCAUCCAUUUCAACUUUUGUUUUUUUUUUUAAUUUUUGGUUUUUUUUUUUUUUUCAAAAAUAAAUUAUAAACUAAAAAAAUAAAUAAAUUAAAAAAUCAAAUAUUUGAUAGAGACUUAAGACCCAAACUAGUCCCAAAUCAAUUCAAAGCCUAAAUUGCAAAUUCAAAUUUAAAUAAACUAAUCUAAAACUCAUAUACCGUAAGAUUUUUUAUGCAAAAAUAUCUAUUAAUAAUUUUUUUUUUGAAAACAUUAUUUUUAAAUUUAUCAAAUUUUACUAUAUGGAUUUAUUUUUAUUUCUCAAAAAUUAUUAAAAUCACAAAAUUUUUCAUUAUAUUAAUAAUGUUUUAUAGUUUAUUUUUUAAAAAUUAUUUUUAAAAAAAAUUAUUAAACGUUUUAAUGUGUUGAUAAGAUUUUAUUUUAAUAUUUUAAAAAUUAACUCUCCUAUAUUUUGAUGAAAUUUUUAACAAUGUUUAUUUUUUUUUUUAUUUAAAAAAUUUAAAACAAUAAAUAUAUAAAAUAUAUAAAAAUACAAAAAAUAAAAAUAAUCUUACCAGUUCGGCUUAGUAAGUGGUGUGGCUCGGUGGCUCAACCCAGCUCGAACUGCUGGAUGCUAAAACGAGUCGGGAGUUGCGAGCACUCUAGUCGGAUUGGGCUAACGGAAGCACAUGGAUUCUCUUUUAAUAAAAGAGUGUGUUUUGGCUUCUAUAAAAGCCAAGUUUUUGCCUUACCAUUUAUUUCCCUUCUCUCUCUGAGCUAAUUUUUCUCUAACCUCAAUCUUCCCAAACUCAGAAACGAUGAACUAUAGCACUAGAUUUUGAAAAAUCUCAUCGACAACUUUAAAAUGUCGUUGAAAUUUCGUCGAAAAUACCAAAGACUUACUGAAAAACUCAAUGGAAUUUGGAGAAUUUCUGGAUUUUUUAUAAAAAAAUUUAGCAAAUCCUCCCCUCGACAGAUUUGAUCUCACAAACACUAUUAUCUACAAUUUGUCCUCAAAAUCACACUUAAAACCUUUCAAACCCGGAAAAACAAAUAAAAAAUACUCCAAAUCAGUACCCUCUUCUGGCCAAACUUUCACCCAUCUUUUUUUUAUAUUUUCACUCUCUUUUGUGUGAAUUCUCUCUGUGCAAUUGCUUUCCCCCUUAAUUGUUGCAACAACUUAGGAAUAUAUAAUAGUUGAAUCCUGAUUUAGAUAGUUAUCCAAAACAAAAAGGAGAUUGAGCUUCUAAAAAUUCAUCUAUCUUAAUCUCUAAAUUUUAUUUGAAAAAUUUUAUCAUCAAAGAAGUCCAUCUACUUUUGGAUUUUACCUAAAGAAUUGCGCAUAUCCAACAUAAUAAAAAACCCCAAUUCACUCUUGCACCAUCUUUAUCAAUGUGAGAUUUUUUUAGAAAUAGU
This 2513-nucleotide long non-coding RNA is filed under the name Durio zibethinus. Its description in RNAcentral is "long non-coding RNA (DZIB_LNC002366)". The record is from RNAcentral. Lineage: Eukaryota; Viridiplantae; Streptophyta; Magnoliopsida; Malvales; Malvaceae.